RNAcentral lists this ribosomal RNA (394 nucleotides) under uncultured bacterium. Its description in RNAcentral is "bacterial SSU rRNA". It matches the Rfam family "Bacterial small subunit ribosomal RNA", at positions 30 to 410 of the family's 1533-position model. The record is from RNAcentral.
AGUGAACGCUGGCGGCAGGCCUAACACAUGCAAGUCGAGCGGCAGCGCGUCCGACCACCCUCGGGUGGUCGGAUGGCGGCGAGCGGCGGACGGGUGAGGAAUGCAUCGGAAUCUGCCUCGUUGUGGGGGAUAACGUAGGGAAACUUACGCUAAUACCGCAUACGACCUACGGGUGAAAGUGGGGGACCUUCGGGCCUCACGCGAUGAGAUGAGCCGAUGCCGGAUUAGCUAGUUGGCGGGGUAAAGGCCCACCAAGGCGACGAUCCGUAGCUGGUCUGAGAGGAUGAUCAGCCACACUGGAACUGAGACACGGUCCAGACUCCUACGGGAGGCAGCAGUGGGGAAUAUUGGACAAUGGGGGCAACCCUGAUCCAGCCAUGCCGCGUGUGUGAAG